AUUGAACGCUGGCGGCAGGCCUAACACAUGCAAGUCGAACGGUAACAGGAAACAGCUUGCUGUUUCGCUGACGAGUGGCGGACGUGUGAGUAAUGUCUGUGAAACUGCCUGAUGGAGGGGGAUAACUACUGGAAACGGUAGCUAAUACCGCAUAACGUCGCAAGACCAAAGAUGGGGACCUUCGGGCCUCUUGCCAUCGGAUGUGCCCAGAUGGGAUUAGCUAGUAGGUGGGGUAACGGCUCACCUAGGCGACGAUCCGUAGCUGGUCUGAGAGGAUGACCAGCCACACUGGAACUGAGACACGGUCCAGACUCCUACGGGAGGCAGCAGUGGGGAAUAUUGCACAAUGGGCGCAAGCCUGAUGCAGCCAUGCCGCGUGUGUGAAGAAGGCCUUCGGGUUGUAAAGCACUUUAAGUGGGGAGGAAGGGAGUUAAGUUAAUACCUUGGCGUAUUGACGGUACCCGCAGAAGAAGCACCGGCUAACUACGUG
This 490-nucleotide ribosomal RNA is filed under the name uncultured bacterium. RNAcentral describes it as "partial 16S ribosomal RNA". It matches the Rfam family "Bacterial small subunit ribosomal RNA", at positions 30 to 507 of the family's 1533-position model. The record is from RNAcentral.